CACUUAGCCCUAGCCAUUACACUGGCUACAAGUGUUCCUGACCUUGUUCAUAGUAGGGUGAUUGAUCUAAAGCUACAACCCAAACCAAUACCGCAACCUGAACCAAAGCCUGCACCACAACCAGACCCAAAGCCAGAACCCAAGCCAACACCGCAGCCUGACCCAAAACCCACACCACAACCAGACCCAAAGCCAGAACCCAAGCCGGCACCACAGCCUGAACCAAAGCCCGCACCACAACCAGAUCCAAAGCCAGAACCUAAACCGACACCGCAACCAAAACCAAAACCUACACCACAACCAGACCCACAACCAGAACCAAAACCCACACCACAACCAGACCCAAAACCGGAACCUAAACCCACACCACAACCAGAUCCAAAGCCCGAGCCAAAACCAACACCACAGCCACCCUCCUCGCAACCUGAACCAAAGCCCGAGCCUGAGCCAAGCCCCAAACCUACGCCAGAACCUAAACCUCAGCUGGAGCCUCAACCAAGCCCAAAACCCCAACCUGAAC
RNAcentral lists this long non-coding RNA (520 nucleotides) under Sorghum bicolor (sorghum). RNAcentral's name for it is "long non-coding RNA (SBIC_LNC013315)". Lineage: Eukaryota; Viridiplantae; Streptophyta; Magnoliopsida; Poales; Poaceae. The record is from RNAcentral.